This 447-nucleotide ribosomal RNA is filed under the name uncultured bacterium. RNAcentral describes it as "SSU rRNA". It matches the Rfam family "Bacterial small subunit ribosomal RNA", at positions 26 to 518 of the family's 1533-position model. The record is from RNAcentral.
AGAGCGAACGCUGGCGGCAGGCUUAACACAUGCAAGUCGAGCGGGCGUAGCAAGUACGUCAGCGGCAGACGGGUGAGUAACGCGUGGGAACGUACCUUUUGGUUCGGAACAACCCAGGGAAACUUGGGCUAAUACCGGAUAAGCCCUUACGGGGAAAGAUUUAUCGCCGAAAGAUCGGCCCGCGUCUGAUUAGCUAGUUGGUGAGGUAAUGGCUCACCAAGGCGACGAUCAGUAGCUGGUCUGAGAGGAUGAUCAGCCACAUUGGGACUGAGACACGGCCCAAACUCCUACGGGAGGCAGCAGUGGGGAAUAUUGGACAAUGGGCGCAAGCCUGAUCCAGCCAUGCCGCGUGAGUGAUGAAGGCCCUAGGGUUGUAAAGCUCUUUUGUGCGGGAAGAUAAUGACGGUACGCAAGAAUAAGCCCGGCUAACUUCGUGCCAGCAGCCGC